GACGAACGCUGGCGGCGUGCUUAACACAUGCAAGUCGAACGGUGAAGCGCCUUCCUUGUUGGUGGGUGUGGAUGAGUGGCGAACUGGUGAAUAACACGUGAGUAACCUUCCCCCUUCUUCUGGAUAACCGCAUGAAAGUGUUGCUAAUGGGGGAUAUUCUGGGUCUGUCGCAUGAUGGGUCUGGGAAAGAUAUGGUUUCGGUGGUGGAUGGGCUCGCGGCCUAUCAGCUUGUUGGUGGGGUGAUGGCCUACCAAGGCGGUGACGGGUAGCCGGCCUGAGAGGGUCGACGGUCCCACAGGGGAUGAGACGCCGACACGCCUACGGCGGGCAGCAGUAGUGGGUAAUCUUGGAUAAGCGGCGGCAGGAUGGAGCAGCGACGCCGGGGUAGGGAUGGAGGUCGUCGGGUUGUGAACCUUUUUCGGCAGUGAAGCAGGCCUGCCUCGUCUGUGGGUGGGUUGACGGUAGCUGGAUAAGAAGCGCCGGCCAACUACGUG
RNAcentral lists this ribosomal RNA (494 nucleotides) under uncultured bacterium. Its description in RNAcentral is "partial 16S ribosomal RNA". It matches the Rfam family "Bacterial small subunit ribosomal RNA", at positions 28 to 507 of the family's 1533-position model. The record is from RNAcentral.